RNAcentral lists this ribosomal RNA (256 nucleotides) under uncultured bacterium. RNAcentral's name for it is "partial 16S ribosomal RNA". It matches the Rfam family "Bacterial small subunit ribosomal RNA", at positions 524 to 776 of the family's 1533-position model. The record is from RNAcentral.
UACGAAGGGGGCUAGCGUUGCUCGGAAUCACUGGGCGUAAAGGGUGCGUAGGCGGGUCUUUUAAGUCAGGGGUGAAAUCCUGGAGCUCAACUCCAGAACUGCCUUUGAUACUGAGGAUCUUGAGUUCGGGAGAGGUGAGUGGAACUGCGAGUGUAGAGGUGGAAUUCGUAGAUAUUCGCAAGAACACCAGUGGCGAAGGCGGCUCACUGGCCCGAUACUGACGCUGGAGGCACGAAAGCGUGGGGGAGCAAACAGG